RNAcentral lists this ribosomal RNA (242 nucleotides) under uncultured bacterium. RNAcentral describes it as "partial 16S ribosomal RNA". It matches the Rfam family "Bacterial small subunit ribosomal RNA", at positions 100 to 334 of the family's 1533-position model. The record is from RNAcentral.
CCGGCACGGGUGAGUAACACGUAUGCAAUCCACCUGUAACAGGGGGAGUAACCCGGAGAAAUCCGGACUAAUACCCCAUAAUAUGGGCGCUCCGCAUGGAGAGCCCAUUAAAGAGAGCAAUUUUGGUUACAGACGAGCAUGCGCUCCAUUAGCCAGUUGGCGGGGUAACGGCCCACCAAGGCGACGAUGGAUAGGGGUUCUGAGAGGAAGGUCCCCCACAUUGGAACUGAGACACGGUCCAA